This 698-nucleotide ribosomal RNA is filed under the name uncultured archaeon. RNAcentral's name for it is "bacterial SSU rRNA". It matches the Rfam family "Archaeal small subunit ribosomal RNA", at positions 156 to 855 of the family's 1478-position model. The record is from RNAcentral.
AUAGAUCAUUUUACCUGGAACGGUUUAUGGUCCAAAUGAUUCGUCGCCGUAGGAUGGGACUGCGGCCUAUCAGCUUGUUGGUGAGGUAAUGGCCCACCAAGGCUAUUACAGGUACGGGCUCUGAGAGGAGAAGCCCGGAGAUGGGUACUGAGACACGGACCCAGGCCCUAUGGGGCGCAGCAGGCGAGAAAACUUUGCAAUGUGCGCAAGCACGACAAGGUUAAUCCGAGUGUUUCCUGCUAAAGGAAUCUUUUGCUAGUCCUAAAAACACUAGCGAAUAAGGGGUGGGCAAGUUCUGGUGUCAGCCGCCGCGGUAAAACCAGCACCUCAAGUGGUCAGGAGGAUUAUUGGGCCUAAAGCAUCCGUAGCCUGCUCUGUAAGUUUCCGGUUAAAUCCAUUAGCUUAACUGAUGGGCCGCCGGAAAAACUGCAAAGCUAGGGAGUGGGAGAGGUAGACGGUACUCGGUAGGAAGGGGUAAAAUCCUUUGAUCUAUUGAUGACCACCAGUGGCGAAGGCGGUCUACCAGAACACGUUCGACGGUGAGGGAUGAAAGCUGGGGGAGCAAACCGGAUUAGAUACCCGGGUAGUCCCAGCUGUAAACGAUGCAGACUCGGUGAUGCCCUGGCUUGUGGCCAGUGCAGUGCCGCAGGGAAGCCGUUAAGUUUGCCGCCUGGGAAGUACGUACGCAAGUAUGAAAC